RNAcentral lists this ribosomal RNA (253 nucleotides) under uncultured bacterium. RNAcentral's name for it is "partial 16S ribosomal RNA". It matches the Rfam family "Bacterial small subunit ribosomal RNA", at positions 524 to 776 of the family's 1533-position model. The record is from RNAcentral.
UACGAAGGGGGCUAGCGUUGCUCGGAAUUACUGGGCGUAAAGGGCGCGUAGGCGGAUAGUUCAGUCAGAGGUGAAAGCCCAGGGCUCAACCUUGGAAUUGCCUUUGAUACUGGCUGUCUUGAGUAUGGGAGAGGUUAGCGGAACUCCGAGUGUAGAGGUGAAAUUCGUAGAUAUUCGGAAGAACACCAGUGGCGAAGGCGGCUAACUGGCCCAUUACUGACGCUGAGGCUCGAAAGCGUGGGGAGCAAACGGG